GAUGAACGCUGGCGGCGUGCCUAAUACAUGCAAGUCGAGCGAACGGACGAGAAGCUUGCUUUUCUGAUGUUAGCGGCGGACGGGUGAGUAACACGUGGAUAACCUACCUAUAAGACUGGGAUAACUUCGGGAAACCGGAGCUAAUACCGGAUAAUAUUUUGAACCGCAUGGUUCAAAAGUGAAAGACGGUCUUGCUGUCACUUAUAGAUGGAUCCGCGCUGCAUUAGCUAGUUGGUAAGGUAACGGCUUACCAAGGCAACGAUGCAUAGCCGACCUGAGAGGGUGAACGGCCACACUGGAACUGAGACACGGUCCAGACUCCUACGGGAGGCAGCAGUAGGGAAUCUUCCGCAAUGGGCGAAAGCCUGACGGAGCAGCGCCGCGUGAGUGAUGAAGGUCUUCGGAUCGUAAAACUCUGUUAUUAGGGAAGAACAUAUGUGUAAGUAACUGUGCACAUCUUGACGGUACCUAAUCAGAAAGCCACGGCUAACUACGUG
Molecule: ribosomal RNA, 497 nt
Filed under: uncultured bacterium
Lineage: Bacteria
Description: partial 16S ribosomal RNA
Rfam family: Bacterial small subunit ribosomal RNA
Source: RNAcentral